GAGGAAAGAGGGAGGAGGGAUGAAUACAUGCAAGUCGAGCGAACAGACGAGGAGCUUGCUCCUCUGACGUUAGCGGCGGACGGGUGAGUAACACGUGGAUAACCUACCUAUAAGACUGGGAUAACUUCGGGAAACCGGAGCUAAUACCGGAUAAUAUAUUGAACCGCAUGGUUCAAUAGUGAAAGACGGUUUUGCUGUCACUUAUAGAUGGAUCCGCGCCGCAUUAGCUAGUUGGUAAGGUAACGGCUUACCAAGGCAACGAUGCGUAGCCGACCUGAGAGGGUGAUCGGCCACACUGGAACUGAGACACGGUCCAGACUCCUACGGGAGGCAGCAGUAGGGAAUCUUCCGCAAUGGGCGAAAGCUUGACGGAGCAACGCCGCGUGAGUGAUGAAGGUCUUCGGAUCGUAAAACUCUGUUAUUAGGGAAGAACAAAUGUGUAAGUAACUAUGCACGUCUUGACGGUACCUAAUCAGAAAGCCACGGCUAACUACGUG
This 497-nucleotide ribosomal RNA is filed under the name uncultured bacterium. Its description in RNAcentral is "partial 16S ribosomal RNA". It matches the Rfam family "Bacterial small subunit ribosomal RNA", at positions 28 to 507 of the family's 1533-position model. The record is from RNAcentral.